CGCACGGGUGAGUAAUACGUGGAUAAUCUUCCCUCGAGCGGGGGAUAACAUUCCGAAAGGAGUGCUAAUACCGCAUAAGACCACGGAGCCGAAAGGUUCUGGGGUAAAAGCAGGCCUCUAUACAUAAGCUUGCACUUGAGGAUGAGUCCACGGCCCAUCAGGUAGUUGGUAGGGUAAUGGCCUACCAAGCCUAAGACGGGUAGCUGGUCUGAGAGGAUGAUCAGCCACACUGGAACUGAGACACGGUCCAGACUCCUACGGGAGGCAGCAGUGGGGAAUCUUGCGCAAUGGACGAAAGUCUGACGCAGCGACGCCGCGUGAGUGAUGAAGGCCUUCGGGUUGUAAAGCUCUGUGGGGAAGAAAAUUAUCAUGGCAACAUCCAUGAUGAUGACGGUAUCUCNCUUAGCAAGGACCGGAUAAC
Molecule: ribosomal RNA, 421 nt
Filed under: uncultured bacterium
Lineage: Bacteria
Description: bacterial SSU rRNA
Rfam family: Bacterial small subunit ribosomal RNA
Source: RNAcentral